CCUACGGGUGGCAGCAGUGAGGAAUAUUGGUCAAUGGACGGAAGUCUGAACCAGCCAUGCCGCGUGCAGGAAGACGGCUCUAUGAGUUGUAAACUGCUUUUGGACAAGGGUAAACCUGAAGACGUGUAUUCAGCAGAAAGUACUGUACGAAUAAGGAUCGGCUAACUCCGUGCCAGCAGCCGCGGUAAUACGGAGGUUGCAAGCGUUAUCCGGAUUUAUUGGGUUUAAAGGGUGCGUAGGCGGAUUGAUAAGUUAGAGGUGAAAUGUCCGAGCUUAACUCGGGAACUGCCUCUAAUACUGUUGAUCUAGAGAGUAGGUGCGGUAAGCGGAAUGUAUGGUGUAGCGGUGAAAUGCUUAGAGAUAAUACAGAACACCGGUUGCGAAGGCAGAUGACCAAACUAUAUCUGACGUUGAGGCACGAAAGCGUGGGGAGCAAACAGGAUUAGAUACCCCUGUAGUC
RNAcentral lists this ribosomal RNA (460 nucleotides) under uncultured bacterium. RNAcentral's name for it is "partial 16S ribosomal RNA". It matches the Rfam family "Bacterial small subunit ribosomal RNA", at positions 338 to 795 of the family's 1533-position model. The record is from RNAcentral.